UGUUAGUGUUGAACAUGGGUCUUAAAGC
This 28-nucleotide non-coding RNA is filed under the name Rattus norvegicus (Norway rat). Lineage: Eukaryota; Metazoa; Chordata; Mammalia; Rodentia; Muridae. The record is from RNAcentral.